CACAAAAAAAAAAAAAAAAAAAGGUGCCAGAGUGGGCUUAUGUAGAAUUGCUUGUGUUUCUCAAGCAUACAUUGGAGUGGACAAAAGAAUGAAAAUCAUUACUGCUUAUUGGCAUGGUCUAAUUUUCAGGACAAUAUUUCUAUCUUCAAGCUAAAAAUGCUGUACUGUGAUUUUUUUUUUCUGCCUCAAAUGUACAGCAAUCUACAGCAGCAACAGCUCAUGAUAACUGUAGUUAACUGACUUUCAUUUAUCUGAAUGAAAAUUAUAACACCAA
RNAcentral lists this unclassified non-coding RNA (274 nucleotides) under Hevea brasiliensis (rubber tree). The record is from RNAcentral. Lineage: Eukaryota; Viridiplantae; Streptophyta; Magnoliopsida; Malpighiales; Euphorbiaceae.